Molecule: long non-coding RNA, 594 nt
Organism: Oncorhynchus tshawytscha (Chinook salmon)
Lineage: Eukaryota; Metazoa; Chordata; Actinopteri; Salmoniformes; Salmonidae
Source: Ensembl
AGUGAAGCUGCCCUAGAGUUUUGUAUGCAUCUCUGUGUGUGGAGUGAAGGUGCCCUAGAGUUUUGUAUGCGUCUCUGUGUGUGGAGUGAAGGUGCCCUAGAGUUUUGUAUGCGUCUCUGUAUGUGGAGUGAAGGUGCCCUAGAGUUUUGUUACUUAUAGUGGCACAGGUGACAUGCUGGUAAAAACUGAGGUAAAAUGGAUUUCAGUUUCCCAGCAUUAAAAUCACCGGCCACAAGAAGCGCCGCCUCUGGAUGUGCAUUUUCUUGUUUGCUUAUGGCCUUAUACAUCUCGUUAAGUGCGGUCUUAGUGCCAGCAUCGGAUUGUGAUGGUAAAUUGACAGCUAUGAAAAAUAUAGAUGAAUACUCUCUUGGUAAAUAUUAGGCGAGCAAAACUUGAUAAUUUCUUAACAUUAGAGGUCACUGACCAGCUGUUGUUAACAAAGAGACACACCUCUCCUACCCAAGGCUGCAGUCCAGGCUUGAUGAUGCAUGGAAAAACCAGCAAGAUGUAUAUCAUAGGAAAUUAUGGCGGAGACAUUAUGUACAAAACACUGUAAAAAAACACACAAAAUAACGGGUAACUGCUAUACACUGC